GGCCCAGGUCAGCCUACUUAAUCUUGCUGAUAUUCCAGUUUUUCAUCAGGAACAAGGCUGAUCAUAAUACUACCUUGAAGGAUUGCUGUGAGGACUAGCUAGAGGGAUUGUGUGAGAGUCCCUUGCCCAAUGUCUGGAACACAGUAGGCUGGGCGCAGUGGCUCACGCCCGUAAUCCCAGCACUUUGGGACGCCGAGGUGGGUGGAUCAUGAGAUCAGGAGUUCGAGACCAGCCUGGCCAACAUGGUGAAACCCGUCCUGAAUAAAAAUACAAAAACUAGCCAGGCGUGGUGGCACACGCCUGUAAUCCCAGCUACUCUGGAGGCUGAAGCAGGAGAAUCACUUGAACCUGGGAGGCGAACUUUGCAGUGAGCUGAGAUUGUGCCACUGCACUCCAGCCUGGGCGACAGAGCAAGACUCCAUCUCGAAAAAAUAUAAAUAAAUAAAUAAAUAAAGUAUUGCAUUAAAAUAGUCUUUCUCUUAGUUACUGAGUUUUUUGUUGCCACUUCCCCCUGCCUCCCUCUAAAAUUUUGUACCCUAGGCAAGGGCCUCACUGUCCUCUCUGGGAGAAUCUACCAGAGGCCAGGGUGGGGCUGGGAGGAAAAGGAGAGGCUUUUAUGUGUAUUCCAGCAGAAGUGCAAGGUUUU
This 646-nucleotide long non-coding RNA is filed under the name Homo sapiens (human). RNAcentral describes it as "HSALNT0369595". The record is from RNAcentral. Lineage: Eukaryota; Metazoa; Chordata; Mammalia; Primates; Hominidae.